CCAGACUCCUACGGGAGGCAGCAGUGGGGAAUAUUGCACAAUGGGCGAAAGCCUGAUGCAGCGACGCCGCGUGGGGGAUGAAGGCCUUCGGGUUGUAAACCCCUUUCAGCAGGGAAGAAGCGAAAGUGACGGUACCUGCAGAAGAAGCGCCGGCUAACUACGUGCCAGCAGCCGCGGUAAUACGUAGGGCGCAAGCGUUGUCCGGAAUUAUUGGGCGUAAAGAGCUCGUAGGCGGUUUGUCGCGUCUGCUGUGAAAACCCGAGGCUCAACCUCGGGCCUGCAGUGGGUACGGGCAGACUAGAGUGCGGUAGGGGAGACUGGAAUUCCUGGUGUAGCGGUGGAAUGCGCAGAUAUCAGGAGGAACACCGAUGGCGAAGGCAGGUCUCUGGGCCGCAACUGACGCUGAGGAGCGAAAGCAUGGGGAGCGAACAGGAUUAGAUACCCUGGUAGUCCAUGCCGUAAACGUUGGGCACUAGGUGUGGGGCUCAUUCCACGAGUUCCGUGCCGCAGCAAACGCAUUAAGUGCCCCGCCUGGGGAGUACGGCCGCAAGGCUAAAACUCAAAGGAAUUGACGGGGGCCCGCACAAGCGGCGGAGCAUGCGGAUUAAUUCGAUGCAACGCGAAGAACCUUACCAAGGCUUGACAUAUACCGAAAACUCAUGGAGACAUGGGGUCCGCAAGGGCGGUAUACAGGUGGUGCAUGGUUGUCGUCAGCUCGUGUCGUGAGAUGUUGGGUUAAGUCCCGCAACGAGCGCAACCCUCGUCCUAUGUUGCCAGCACAUCAUGGUGGGGACUCAUAGGAGACUGCCGGGGUCAACUCGGAGGAAGGUGGGGAUGACGUCAAAUCAUCAUGCCCCUUAUGUCUUGGGCUUCACGCAUGCUACAAUGGCCGGUACAAAGGGCUGCGAUACCGCGAGGUGGAGCGAAUCCCAAAAAGCCGGUCUCAGUUCGGAUUGGGGUCUGCAACUCGACCCCAUGAAGUCGGAGUCGCUAGUAAUCGCAGAUCAGCAACGCUGCGGUGAAUACGUUCCCGGGCCUUGUACACACCGCCCGUCAAGUCACGAAAGUCGGUAACACCCGAAGCCGGUGGCCCAACCCUUGUGGAGGGAGCCGUCGAAGGUGGGACCAGCGAUUGGGACUAAGUCGUAACAAGGUAGCCGUACCGGAAGGUGCGGCUGGAUCACCUCCUUUCUA
This 1194-nucleotide ribosomal RNA is filed under the name Actinotalea ferrariae CF5-4. RNAcentral describes it as "bacterial SSU rRNA". It matches the Rfam family "Bacterial small subunit ribosomal RNA", at positions 331 to 1533 of the family's 1533-position model. The record is from RNAcentral. Lineage: Bacteria; Bacillati; Actinomycetota; Actinomycetes; Micrococcales; Cellulomonadaceae.